This 835-nucleotide ribosomal RNA is filed under the name uncultured organism. RNAcentral's name for it is "bacterial SSU rRNA". It matches the Rfam family "Bacterial small subunit ribosomal RNA", at positions 29 to 842 of the family's 1533-position model. The record is from RNAcentral.
ACGAACGCUGGCGGCGUGCCUAAGCUUAUGCAAGUCGAACGCGAACGGCUCCUUCGGGAGCCUAGUAGAGUGGCAAACGGGUGAGUAACGCGUGGGUAACGUACCCUGAUCCUGGGAAUAACCCUCGGAAACGAGGGCUAAUACCGAAUGUGGCGAACGACCGGUUGGUCGCUCGCUAAAGGUGGCCUCUUCUAUGCUGCCGGGUUGGGAUCGGCCCGCGUCCCAUUAGCUAGUUGGUGAGGUAACGGCUCACCAAGGCCACGAUGGGUAGCCGGCCUGAGAGGGUGUACGGCCACACUGGCACUGAGACAAUGGCCAGUCCCCUAUGGGAGGCGCAGGCGGGAAUAGUUCACAAUGGGCGAAAGCCUGAUGACGCGACGCCGCGUGAGCGAAGAAGACCUUCGGGUUGUAAAGCUCUGUCAGGAGGGAAGAAGGCUCUACGGGUUAAUAGCCCGUGGAAUUGACGGUACCUCCAGAGGAAGCCCCGGCUAAAUACGUGCCAGCAGCCGCGGUAAUACGUAUGGGGCAAGCGUUGUCCGGAUUUACUGGGCGUAAAGGGCGCGUAGGCGGUUUGUUAAGUCGAAGGUGAAAUCCUCGGGCUCAACUCGAGAAUUGCCUUCGAUACUGGCAAACUAGAGUGGCGGAGAGGAAAGCGGAACUCUUGGUGUAACGGUGGAAUGUGUAGAUAUCAAGAGGAACACCGGUGGCGAAGGCGGCUUUCUGGACGCACACUGACGCUCAGGCGCGAAGGCGUGGGUAGCAAACAGGAUUAGAUACCCUGGUAGUCCACGCCAUAAACGAUGGGUACUAGGUGUCGGGGGUAUCGACCCCUCCG